UGGCGUAGUGGUAACGCGCCCCAACUAGAGAUCGGGGAGUCGUGAGUUCGAUUCUCAC
Aedes aegypti (yellow fever mosquito) is the source of this 58-nucleotide non-coding RNA. The record is from Rfam. NCBI's taxonomy places the organism in Eukaryota, Metazoa, Arthropoda, Insecta, Diptera, Culicidae.